GAAUUCACUAGUGAUUCAGGCCUAACACAUGCAAGUCGAGCGGGGUUUUCGGACCUAGAAAAGAACGGGUGAGUAAUGCGUAGGAAGCUACCCGAUAGAGGGGGAUACCAGUUGGAAACGACUGUUAAUACCGCAUAAUGUCUACGGACCAAAGUGUGGGACCUUCGGGCCACAUGCUAUCGGAUGCGCCUACGUGGGAUUAGCUAGUUGGUGAGGUAAUGGCUCACCAAGGCGACGAUCCCUAGCUGGUUUGAGAGGAUAAUCAGCCACACUGGAUUUGGGGCACGGUCCAGACUCCUACGGGAGGCAGCAGUGGGGAAUAUUGGACAAUGGCGCAAGCCUGAUCCAUUUAGAGGGGGUGUGUGAAGAAGGCCUUCGGG
Molecule: ribosomal RNA, 380 nt
Filed under: uncultured bacterium
Lineage: Bacteria
Description: bacterial SSU rRNA
Rfam family: Bacterial small subunit ribosomal RNA
Source: RNAcentral